RNAcentral lists this ribosomal RNA (800 nucleotides) under uncultured bacterium. RNAcentral's name for it is "bacterial SSU rRNA". It matches the Rfam family "Bacterial small subunit ribosomal RNA", at positions 8 to 796 of the family's 1533-position model. The record is from RNAcentral.
AGAGUUUGAUCCUGGCUCAGAUUGAACGCUGGCGGCAGGCCUAACACAUGCAAGUCGAACGGUAACAGGAAGCAGCUUGCUGCUUUGCUGACGAGUGGCGGACGGGUGAGUAAUGUCUGGGAGACUGCCUGAUGGAGGGGGAUAACUACUGGAAACGGUAGCUAAUACCGCAUAACGUCGCAAGACCAAAGAGGGGGACCUUAGGGCCUCUUGCCAUCGGAUGUGCCCAGAUGGGAUUAGCUAGUAGGUGGGGUAACGGCUCACCUAGGCGACGAUCCCUAGCUGGUCUGAGAGGAUGACCAGCCACACUGGAACUGAGACACGGUCCAGACUCCUACGGGAGGCAGCAGUGGGGAAUAUUGCACAAUGGGCGCAAGCCUGAUGCAGCCAUGCCGCGUGUAUGAAGAAGGCCUUCGGGUUGUAAAGUCUUUUUCAGCGGGGAGGAAGGGAGUAAAGUUAAUACCUUUGCUCAUUGACGUUACCCGCAGAAUAAGCACCGGCUAACUCCGUGCCACCAGCCGCGGUAAUACGGAGGGUGCAAGCGUUAAUCGGAAUUACUGGGCGUAGAGCGCACGCAGGCGGUUUGUUAAGUCAGAUGUGAAAUCCCCGGGCUCAACCUGUGAACUGCGUCUGAUACUGGCAAGGUUGAGUCUCGUAGAGGGGGGUAGAAUUCCAGGUGUAUCGGUGAAAUGCGUAUAGAUCUGGAGGAAUACCAGUGGCGAAGGCGGCCCCCUGUACGAAGACUGACGCUCACGUGCAAGAGCGUGGGGAGCAGACGCGAUUAGAUACCCUGGUAGUGC